CCUCACCAACCUCACACCAACCUCACCAUCCUCACCAUCAUCCCCAACCUCACCAUCAUCACCACCAUCGUCACCAUAACCACAACUCACCCUCCGCCCUCUGCGUCCCCCAGAGUAACGUCCACGGGAUAGUGGUUGACUGGAGCGACGGACACAUAAGCAAGUAUCCGGGUUUGUGGCUUCACGACCAAGCCAAGACACCGGUGGAUCCGCCACUUCUUCAGCAGCACCAAGUCUAUGCUGUGUGAUGCACUGGAGUCACGAGGUUCUUUGACACCUCAAAGACGCUGUCGACGAUGAGGAAGAUGGCGGUCAAAGUGAUGCUUAUUACCGAGGUUUUCGUUUGACCCGAGAGCAACCCGGCUGACGAAGGCGCUCUGCUUUCUGCUGUUGAUUCUCUCUAUCUGUUUAUCUAUCUAUCUAUGUAUCAAUCUGUUUAUCUAUCUAUAUCUCGGUCUAUCUAUUGAACUAACUCUCUCUCUCUCUCUCUCUCUCUCUCUCUCUCUCUCUCUCUCUCUCUCUCUCUCUCUCUCUCUCUCUCUCUCUCUCUCUCUCUCUCUCUCUCUCUCUCUCUCUCUCUCUGUUUUAAACCUCUGAUGAUACCUACAUGCCGAAAAUAUAUUCAUAUUAUGUUAUCUGAAAUCUGUAUGUAGCAGUGAGGGAACUUAAAUAGCACCUGUGUGUAAUGUAUGCCAAAUAAUUUUGAGUUUGAAGCAUAUGUGAUAAUAAAAUAUUAACAAAG
RNAcentral lists this long non-coding RNA (742 nucleotides) under Penaeus japonicus. RNAcentral describes it as "uncharacterized LOC122259154". Lineage: Eukaryota; Metazoa; Arthropoda; Malacostraca; Decapoda; Penaeidae. The record is from RNAcentral.